This is a non-coding RNA of Xyrichtys novacula (pearly razorfish), 1621 nucleotides long. Lineage: Eukaryota; Metazoa; Chordata; Actinopteri; Labriformes; Labridae. The record is from the annotation of a GenBank genome assembly.
GUUUUUUUCGGUCAUUACCCAAAGUUCAUGACCACAGGUGAGGGUCGACACAUAGAUCGACCGGUGAAUCGAGAGUCUCGCCUUGCGGCUCAGCUCUUUCUUCACCACGACAGAUUGGUUAAGCGUCCCCAUCACUGCCGAUGCCGCUCCGAUCCGCCUAUCGAUCUCCCGCUCCAUCCUACCCUGUGAACAAGAUCCCGAGAGUAUGUAUGUAAGUAGUUCAAGUAUGUACAGAAUAUGUAACAUUAUCCCCAUCCCUCACACCCAACAGUAUCACCACUCUUGCUUACAUCCUGGUGAAAUCCUGCACUCGUAAGUGUAAAUCCCUUUCCUUGGUCUACUUCUUAAGUCAGUCCACAGACAUCAACUGGUCCAUCAUCACCACAAGUCCCUCCGUGGAUCACAUGACUCCUGUCCUUUGGCAGCUUCAUCUGCUCCAAAUUAAAUACUGCAUUGACUUCAGAAGUCUGCUGCAGAGAGAGGGUUUAGUGAAAACUUGUCUGUUAAUCCUGAGCUGAGUGACAUUCUGGGUUUUCUGUGUCAGAGAAGAAGGUCACUGAAACCUGGUAAAGAAGGGUAACUCAAGCUGUUCCUGAAAGAGAGGUAACUGAAGCUUUGAGUCAUUUAUGUUAUGAUAACUGAGUCUGUAGACCAAACGUCAUCGUGAGCAGGUUUUCUUCAGUGAACUCAGAGUUUCUCCCUCUUUUCUCCCUCUUUCAUGAAGUCUGUGUUACAUGUACAUUUACAGAGAUUUGACGCUUGACUGACAAAAAAUGUGGCUGUUUUGGUGUAGUUGGUUUGACGUACAAGCCUUUAUGCAACACAUCCUCUCCACCAUGACAUAUCCUUUUGUUACAAUAAAAAAGAGGUUAUUUUAUAAUCUGUGCUCACAGUUAGAGGGUCUGGGGGUUCAGAUAACAUUUGCAUACAAAUAUGUAAACAAAGCUCACAGAUUGGACUUGAAAUCUGAGUGCACAAUCCCUGUUUCCAAGGAUUUUAAAUUUCGUUGAUUGCAUUAAUCCUUUUCAUUACACUCUGAAUGUAACUGUGAGGGUUUUGAAAUACACUUGAACUGAGAAGAAUACAUCAGUCCAUGUCUGACAUGCUGGAGGCUCACAGCUGAAGAGUCCUGCGUCAGAGAGCCAAUCAUCACAGAGUAAACUUCAACUGUUAUUUGCGGUUCAACAAUCUGACUGUAGGGCCACCUGCUGGUCCAGCUUUGAAAUUCUGCAACUUUGCGUUCCUCUGGUGUAUUUGUGGUCCUGUGAAGAAGGGUGUAAUGUAGAUAGGUAUAGAAAACACACUGUAAAAUGUAAGUAUACCCAAAUAUACACCUGAAAAAAUAGAGGAGGUGAAAAUCUGAAGAAGGUUUGGGCCUGACUUUUGCACUCUGGUCAUGUCCUGUUGAAUCUACACUUUAGUUCGUCAGGUUUUCAGCCCCUGAAUGUGAGGCCUUUUCUUCAAUUUAACUUUGUGUUCAGCUCUUUUCUGUUUUAAACUCUUCACCUUUAUGGUUUAAACUCAAUCAGAUCAUUUCUCAGGAUUAAAACUGAAACUUCCUACCUGCUGACAGAUUUUUUUUCUUUCUCUGCGCAGAGUUGACGGCGUCUGAGGAUCAGCC